Molecule: ribosomal RNA, 253 nt
Filed under: uncultured bacterium
Lineage: Bacteria
Description: partial 16S ribosomal RNA
Rfam family: Bacterial small subunit ribosomal RNA
Source: RNAcentral
UACAGAGAGUGCGAGCGUUAAUCGGAAUUACUGGACGUAAAGCGCGCGUAAGCGGCUUUGCAAGUCGGAUGUGAAAUCCCCAGGCUCAACCUGGGAACUGCAUUCGAGACUGCAUUGCUAGAGUAUGGGAAAGGGAAGUGGAAUUUCCGGUGUAGCAGUGAAAUGCGUAGAUAUCGGAAGGAACAUCAGUGGCGAAAGCGACUUCCUGGACCAAUACUGACGCUCAUGUGCGAAAGCGUGGAAAGCAAACAGG